This 868-nucleotide long non-coding RNA is filed under the name Anser brachyrhynchus (Pink-footed goose). RNAcentral's name for it is "lncRNA (ENSABRG00000000029.1)". Lineage: Eukaryota; Metazoa; Chordata; Aves; Anseriformes; Anatidae. The record is from RNAcentral.
CAAGGAGUCUCUGUACCCUGCCUUGUCUGCCUGGGCAAGGCUACUAGGGAUGUCAUGCUGGCAAUGACUUCAAUAGUGGUCUAACGUAAAAUGUCUUGUGGUCCUCUCAGUCCCUGAGAAAGUAGUGUUCCCACAGGCCUAUUAUGCAAAAGCUGGCUACCACCAUCAUUAUUCCUAAUGAGCAAAAGUACCACUGUUUUUAGGCUGACCAUAGAGGUACCUAUAGAAGUAGGGCAGUGCUAGCAAGCUGGUCAUCUCUACUGUUGUACAGGAUUAGGCACCUAAAAUCUACUGAAAUCCCAUCUUUCAGAUCUAUUGGAAUCUUAAUCUGGAUGUAGGAAAUUAUAUACAGCCCCAGCUGUUUCUCCAGGUAUGCUGAAGUGCCCUGACACGUGGUAGCAGGCAAUAUUUUCAUGAAAACAAUCCUUGCUUGGAAACAACUUGAAGAUCGGUCAGAUGGCCAUCCUCCUUUCAGCUCACCAGACUUCAGCUAACACCCUGUUCUCCACUGCAGCAACAAACUGAGUAACACUAAGAAGAAACAGCAUGAGGUGCUUCUAAGGGACUAUCACAAAACAGCAGGAUCUGUCACAGGCAAACUAAGAAACAACUACCAGCUACAAGGUGCAAGCUAAGCAACAUAAAUACACAGAAUAAGCUUAGAAAGGAGAUAAAAGAGGAAUACGUGGGUCCCCUGAGCCUAUUUUUUCUGCAGAUGGCCAGAGGGAAGCAGAGAGCGCAGUAUUUGUGGGACUGGAAAAAGAGAGCAGCAGAGAGCACGAGUACACAACCUUGCAGCUUGGGUAUUGACCUGGGAGUGUGUGCAGACUGGAUUUCGGGUCCCUCUGAGGGUGCCUACGUCCUUUUU